Aureobasidium namibiae CBS 147.97 is the source of this 91-nucleotide transfer RNA. It matches the Rfam family "tRNA". From Rfam's summary of the family: Transfer RNA (tRNA) molecules are approximately 80 nucleotides in length. Their secondary structure includes four short double-helical elements and three loops (D, anti-codon, and T loops). Further hydrogen bonds mediate the characteristic L-shaped molecular structure. tRNAs have two regions of fundamental functional importance: the anti-codon, which is responsible for specific mRNA codon recognition, and the 3' end, to which the tRNAs corresponding amino acid is attached (by aminoacyl-tRNA synthetases). tRNAs cope with the degeneracy of the genetic code in two manners: having more than one tRNA (with a specific anti-codon) for a particular amino acid; and 'wobble' base-pairing, i.e. permitting non-standard base-pairing at the 3rd anti-codon position. The record is from Rfam. Lineage: Eukaryota; Fungi; Ascomycota; Dothideomycetes; Dothideales; Saccotheciaceae.
UCUUCAUUGGUCUAGUGGUCAUGAUUUCCGCUUGUCAGGAGUAAAUUCUCGUCAAGCGCGGGAGACCAGGGUUCGAUUCCCUGAUGGAGAG